RNAcentral lists this ribosomal RNA (253 nucleotides) under uncultured bacterium. Its description in RNAcentral is "partial 16S ribosomal RNA". It matches the Rfam family "Bacterial small subunit ribosomal RNA", at positions 524 to 776 of the family's 1533-position model. The record is from RNAcentral.
UACGUAGGGGUCAAGCGUUGUCCGGAUUUAUUGGGCGUAAAGCGCCCGUAGGCGGCUUGCCAAGUUCGAUGUGAAAUCUCCCGGCUUAACUGGGAGGGUGCAUCGAAAACUGGCAGGCUUGAGGCAGGGAGAGGGAUGUGGAAUUCCAGGUGUAGUGGUGAAAUGCGUAGAUAUCUGGAGGAACACCGGUGGCGAAGGCGGCAUCCUGGACCAAUAUUGACGCUGAGGAGCGAAAGCCAGGGGAGCAAACGGG